This 254-nucleotide ribosomal RNA is filed under the name uncultured bacterium. RNAcentral's name for it is "partial 16S ribosomal RNA". It matches the Rfam family "Bacterial small subunit ribosomal RNA", at positions 524 to 776 of the family's 1533-position model. The record is from RNAcentral.
UACGGGGGGAGCAAGCGUUGUUCGGAUUUACUGGGCGUAAAGGGCGCGUAGGCGGCCUGUGCAAGUCAGUUGUGAAAUCUCCGAGCUUAACUCGGAACGGUCAACUGAUACUGCUCGGCUAGAGUGCGGAAGGGGCAACUGGAAUUCUUGGUGUAGCGGUGAAAUGCGUAGAUAUCAAGAGGAACACCUGCGGCGAAGGCGGGUUGCUGGGCCGACACUGACGCUGAGACGCGAAAGCGUGGGGAGCAAACAGG